UAAACAUAUCAGUGCACCAAACUCCAGUAGGGGGGUCAGUUUCUCCAAGAGAGUCGGUCACUCUGCAGUGCACGGUCCUCUCUGAGAUCAGAGCAGCAGAUCUCCGAGUGCUCUGGUUCAGAGCUGCUGCAGGACAAUCCUUUCCUGAAAUCAUUUACACUCACAACAGCAGCAGCCGUCAGUGUGAGAUCAGCUCUUCUACACAAAGCUGUUGGUACAACUUCUCCAAGAACACCACCACCACGACAACCACCAUACUGGAACUUACUACUGCGCUGUGGAAGCUUGCGGGAAGAUCAUUUUAGGCAGUGGAUCAUCAGUAGAACUGACCUGUCCUGUGGAUCCCACUGUGUUCUAUCUGGGAGCAGCUUUGGGAAUCUGUGUGAUUGUGAUCUGUGUUCAAGCCAUUCGAAAUUGCAGCGUCCAUCAUAGGGAGAGAUCGUGAUUCGGUGGUGGAGAACAAAGCCAGUCAGGUACUACAUGUUCUCUCAUCCACACUGACGCUGUUUAAUUCUUAUAGAGUUCUCUAAUCUUCAGCCUUUAAUAUUUCAUAUUCAUCUCUACAGGACUCUGCAGCUG
Pygocentrus nattereri (red-bellied piranha) is the source of this 579-nucleotide long non-coding RNA. RefSeq lists it as uncharacterized. NCBI's taxonomy places the organism in Eukaryota, Metazoa, Chordata, Actinopteri, Characiformes, Serrasalmidae. The transcript is spliced from 3 exons. The record is from RefSeq and is a predicted model, not a curated record.